RNAcentral lists this long non-coding RNA (692 nucleotides) under Homarus americanus (American lobster). Its description in RNAcentral is "uncharacterized LOC121873496, transcript variant X1". The record is from RNAcentral. Lineage: Eukaryota; Metazoa; Arthropoda; Malacostraca; Decapoda; Nephropidae.
AUUUAACAAGUAUCCCGCUGGAGCUUCAUUGCCCGUAGAGACACCGAAGGAGGAGGAAGUGCUGCUGGUUGUCUUUUUCGCUUGACAGACGCCGUUUUUAAAUUGUAUAAUGAUGGAUCCAGUUGGUUGUUACGGUUGUCAAAGGCCAGUUUACUGCAUCAGUGGUCGUCAGCGUGGAUAGUACAGCACCUCCUUAUUUAUUGAGGAUGAUGACAACUUGAAGAUGGAGGACGGAAGAAAUGAUAACCAAGAGUUCUUCUGGUGACCUGACGCUUGCUGCUCCAGAAACAGUCAGGUUCAGGACCUUGUCAAGGAGAGGUGUGCACUCUGCUGUACCACACAUCUUGCCUCGCUUGUACUGCUGUACCACACAUCUUGCCUCACUUGUACUGCUUUGCCACACACCUUGCCUCCAAUAUCAGGAUGGCAAGUGAUUCACAACACUACUAAAGGAAGCAGGUGCCAAGAUACAGCCCGGACCCAGCCUUCCACCCCUCCUCUCUACCUCAGAUAUGUUCUGAACACUGGAGUGCCAUGCUGCCUUGACUGUGCUUACUGGCCACUGCCCUGUACUUGCUUGCUGGCUGCUCUGUAUGGCUCUGCUCUGUGCAUGCUGCCCUGGAUGGCUCUGCUCUGUGCAUGCUGCCCUGGAUGGCUCUGCUCUGUGCAUGCUGCCCUGGAUGGCUCUGCUC